This 524-nucleotide ribosomal RNA is filed under the name uncultured bacterium. RNAcentral describes it as "partial 16S ribosomal RNA". It matches the Rfam family "Bacterial small subunit ribosomal RNA", at positions 28 to 523 of the family's 1533-position model. The record is from RNAcentral.
GACGAACGCUGGCGGCGUGCCUAAUACAUGCAAGUCGAGCGCAGGAAAUCGACGGAACCCUUCGGGGGGAAGUCGACGGAAUGAGCGGCGGACGGGUGAGUAACACGUAAAGAACCUGCCCUCAGGUCUGGGAUAACCACGAGAAAUCGGGGCUAAUACCGGAUGGGUCAUCGGACCGCAUGGUCCGAGGAUGAAAGGCGCUUCGGCGUCGCCUGGGGAUGGCUUUGCGGUGCAUUAGCUAGUUGGUGGAGUAAUGGCCCACCAAGGCGACGAUGCAGAGCCGACCUGAGAGGGUGAUCGGCCGCACUGGGACUGAGACACGGCCAAGACUCCUACGGGAGGCAGCAGUAGGGAAUCUUCCACAAUGGACGAAAGUCUGAUGGAGCAACGCCGCGUGAACGAUGAAGGCCUUCGGGUCGUAAAGUUCUGUUGUAAGGGAAGAACAAGUGCCGCAGGCAAUGGCGGCACCUUGACGGUACCUUGCGAGAAAGCCACGGCUAACUACGUGCCAGCCGCCGCGGUAA